RNAcentral lists this ribosomal RNA (508 nucleotides) under uncultured bacterium. RNAcentral's name for it is "partial 16S ribosomal RNA". It matches the Rfam family "Bacterial small subunit ribosomal RNA", at positions 30 to 523 of the family's 1533-position model. The record is from RNAcentral.
AUUGAACGCUGGCGGCAUGCCUUACACAUGCAAGUCGAACGGCAGCGGGGGAGAAGCUUGCUUUUCCUGCCGGCGAGUGGCGAACGGGUGAGUAAUACAUCGGAACGUGCCCUGUAGUGGGGGAUAACUAGUCGAAAGAUUAGCUAAUACCGCAUACGACCUGAGGGUGAAAGUGGGGGACCGCAAGGCCUCAUGCUGUAGGAGCGGCCGAUGUCUGAUUAGCUAGUUGGUGGGGUAAAGGCCUACCAAGGCGACGAUCAGUAGCUGGUCUGGGAGGACGAUCAACCACACUGGGACUGAGACACGGCCCAGACUCCUACGGGAGGCAGCAGUGGGGAAUUUUGGACAAUGGGCGAAAGCCUGAUCCAGCAAUGCCGCGUGUGUGAAGAAGGCCUUCGGGUUGUAAAGCACUUUUGUCCGGAAAGAAAUGGCUCUGGUUAAUACCUGGGGUCGAUGACGGUACCGGAAGAAUAAGGACCGGCUAACUACGUGCCAGCAGCCGCCGUAA